GAGCCGAUCUCGAGGGGCUUGCCCCUUNAGAUUAGCGGCGGACGGGUGAGUACACGUGGGCAACCUACCUGUAAGACUGGGAUAACAUCGGGAAACCGAUGCUAAUACCGGAUAAUCCUUUUCCUCUCAUGAGGAAAAGCUGAAAGUCGGUUUACGCUGACACUUACAGAUGGGCCCGCGGCGCAUUAGCUAGUUGGUGAGGUAACGGCUCACCAAGGCGACGAUGCGUAGCCGACCUGAGAGGGUGAUCGGCCACACUGGGACUGAGACACGGCCCAGACUCCUACGGGAGGCAGCAGUAGGGAAUCUUCCACAAUGGACGAAAGUCUGAUGGAGCAACGCCGCGUGAGCGAUGAAGGCCUUCGGGUCGUAAAGCUCUGUUGUUAGGGAAGAACAAGUAUCGGAGUAACUGCCGGUACCUUGACGGUACCUAACCAGAAAGCCACGGCUAACUACGUGCCAGCAGCCGCGGUAAU
Molecule: ribosomal RNA, 476 nt
Filed under: uncultured bacterium
Lineage: Bacteria
Description: bacterial SSU rRNA
Rfam family: Bacterial small subunit ribosomal RNA
Source: RNAcentral